GCCUAACACAUGCAAGUCGAACGGUAACAGGAAGCAGCUUGCUGCUUUGCUGACGAGUGGCGGACGGGUGAGUAAUGUCUGGGAAACUGCCUGGUGGAGGGGGAUAACUACUGGAAACGGUAGCUAAUACCGCAUAACGUCGCAAGACCAAAGAGGGGGACCUUCGGGCCUCUUGCCAUCGGAUGUGCCCAGAUGGGAUUAGCUAGUAGGUGGGGUAACGGCUCACCUAGGCGACGAUCCCUAGCUGGUCUGAGAGGAUGACCAGCCACACUGGAACUGAGACACGGUCCAGACUCCUACGGGAGGCAGCAGUGGGGAAUAUUGCACAAUGGGCGCAAGCCUGAUGCAGCCAUGCCGCGUGUAUGAAGAAGGCCUUCGGGUUGUAAAGUACUUUCAGCGGGGAGGAAGGGAGUAAAGUUAAUACCUUUGCUCAUUGACGUUACCCGCAGAAGAAGCACCGGCUAACUCCGUGCCAGCAGCCGCGGUAAUACGGAGGGUGCAAGCGUUAAUCGGAAUUACUGGGCGUAAAGCGCACGCAGGCGGUUUGUUAAGUCAGAUGUGAAAUCCCCGGGCUCAACCUGGGAACUGCAUCUGAUACUGGCAAGCUUGAGUCUCGUAGAGGGGGGUAGAAUUCCAGGUGUAGCGGUGAAAUGCGUAGAGAUCUGGAGGAAUACCGGUGGCGAAG
Molecule: ribosomal RNA, 685 nt
Filed under: uncultured Pseudomonadota bacterium
Lineage: Bacteria; Pseudomonadati; Pseudomonadota
Description: bacterial SSU rRNA
Rfam family: Bacterial small subunit ribosomal RNA
Source: RNAcentral